This 253-nucleotide ribosomal RNA is filed under the name uncultured bacterium. Its description in RNAcentral is "partial 16S ribosomal RNA". It matches the Rfam family "Bacterial small subunit ribosomal RNA", at positions 524 to 776 of the family's 1533-position model. The record is from RNAcentral.
GACGUAGGUGGCAAGCGUUGUUCGGAAUUACUGGGCGUAAAGCGCGCGUAGGCGGCUCUUCAAGUCAGGCGUGAAAGCCCCGGGCUUAACUCGGGAACUGCGCUUGAUACUGUCGAGCUAGAGUGUGGAAGGGGCGAUUGGAAUUCCGUGUGUAGCGGUGAAAUGCGUAGAUAUACGGAGGAACACCAGAGGCGAAGGCGGAUCGCUGGGCCAACACUGACGCUGAUGUGCGAAAGCUAGGGGAGCAAACGGG